This 63-nucleotide transfer RNA is filed under the name Tachypleus tridentatus (Chinese horseshoe crab). RNAcentral describes it as "tRNA-Cys". The record is from RNAcentral. Lineage: Eukaryota; Metazoa; Arthropoda; Merostomata; Xiphosura; Limulidae.
GACUUUAUAGUUUAUAAAAAUUUUAAAUUGCAAAUUUAAAGAUAUACUUAUAGUAUUGAAGUU